Molecule: ribosomal RNA, 253 nt
Filed under: uncultured bacterium
Lineage: Bacteria
Description: partial 16S ribosomal RNA
Rfam family: Bacterial small subunit ribosomal RNA
Source: RNAcentral
UACGUAGGUGGCAAGCGUUGUCCGGAUUUACUGGGCGUAAAGAGCGCGCAGGCGGUCAGAUAAGUCGAAUGUGAAAGCCCCCGGCUCAACUGGGGAGGGUCAUUCGAUACUGUUCGACUCGAAGGCAGGAGAGGGAAGCGGAAUUCCCGGUGUAGUGGUGAAAUGCGUAGAUAUCGGGAGGAACACCAGUGGCGAAGGCGACUACCUGGCCUGUUCUUGACGCUGAGGCGCGAAAGCUAGGGGAGCAAACGGG